Molecule: ribosomal RNA, 253 nt
Filed under: uncultured bacterium
Lineage: Bacteria
Description: partial 16S ribosomal RNA
Rfam family: Bacterial small subunit ribosomal RNA
Source: RNAcentral
UACGUAGGGUGCGAGCGUUGUCCGGAAUUAUUGGGCGUAAAGGGCUCGUAGGCGGUUUGUCGCGUCGGGAGUGGAAACGCCGUGCUUAACACGGCGCUUGCUUUCGAUACGGGCAGACUAGAGGUAUGCAGGGGAGAACGGAAUUCCUGGUGUAGCGGUGAAAUGCGCAGAUAUCAGGAGGAACACCGGUGGCGAAGGCGGGUCUCUGGGCCGAUAUUGACGCUGAGGAGCGAAAGCGUGGGGAGCGAACAGG